Camelus ferus (Wild Bactrian camel) is the source of this 72-nucleotide transfer RNA. It matches the Rfam family "tRNA". From Rfam's summary of the family: Transfer RNA (tRNA) molecules are approximately 80 nucleotides in length. Their secondary structure includes four short double-helical elements and three loops (D, anti-codon, and T loops). The record is from Rfam. NCBI's taxonomy places the organism in Eukaryota, Metazoa, Chordata, Mammalia, Artiodactyla, Camelidae.
GAGGGUCUAGCUCAGAGGUAGAGUGCGUGCUUAGCAUGCACAAGGCCCUGGGUUCAACCCCCAGUACCUCCA